Molecule: ribosomal RNA, 869 nt
Filed under: uncultured archaeon
Lineage: Archaea
Description: bacterial SSU rRNA
Rfam family: Archaeal small subunit ribosomal RNA
Source: RNAcentral
CUUCGGUUGAUUCCGGCCGGACCCGACUGCUAUCAGAGUGGGACUAAGCCAUGCGAGUCAACGCCGCAAGGCGUGGCAUACGGCUCAGUAACACGUAGUCAACAUGCCCAGGGGACGUGGAUAACCUCGGGAAACUGAGGAUAAACCGCGAUAGGCCAAGGUUUCUGGAAUGGACACUGGCUGAAACCUAUAUGGCCCCUGGAUUGGACUGCGGCCGAUCAGGCUGUUGGUGAGGUAAUGGCCCACCAAACCUGUAACCGGUACGGGCUUUGAGAGAAGGAGCCCGGAGAUGGGCACUGAGACAAGGGCCCAGGCCCUAUGGGGCGCAGCAGGCGCGAAACCUCUGCAAUAGGCGAAAGCUUGACAGGGUUACUCUGAGUGAUGUCCGCUAAGGGCAUCUUUUGGCACCUCUAAAAAUGGUGCAGAAUAAGGGGUGGGCAAGUCUGGUGUCAGCCGCCGCGGUAAUACCAGCACCCCGAGUGGUCGGGACGAUUAUUGGGCCUAAAGCAUCCGUAGCUUGUUCUGCAAGUCCUCCGUUAAAUCCACCUGCUCAACAGAUGGGCUGCGGGGGAUACUACAGGGCUAGGAGGCGGGAGAGGCAAACGGUACUCAGUGGGUAGGGGUAAAAUCCUCUGAUCCACUGAAGACCACCAGUGGCGAAGGCGGUUUGCCAGAACGCGCUCGACGGUGAGGGAUGAAAGCUGGGGGAGCAAACCGGAUUAGAUACCCGGGUAGUCCCAGCUGUAAACGAUGCAGACUCGGUGAUGGGUUGGCUUCGAGCCAACCCAGUGCCGCAGGGAAGCCGUUAAGUCUGCCGCCUGGGGAGUACGGUCGCAAGACUGAAACUUAAAGGAAUUGGCGGGGGAGCA